GACGAACGCUGGCGGCGUGCUUAACACAUGCAAGUCGAACGGAAAGGCCCUGCUUUUGUGGGGUGCUCGAGUGGCGAACGGGUGAGUAACACGUGAGUAACCUGCCCUUGACUUUGGGAUAACUUCAGGAAACUGGGGCUAAUACCGGAUAGGAGCUCCUACUGCAUGGUGGGGGUUGGAAAGUUUCGGCGGUUGGGGAUGGACUCGCGGCUUAUCAGCUUGUUGGUGGGGUAGUGGCUUACCAAGGCUUUGACGGGUAGCCGGCCUGAGAGGGUGACCGGCCACAUUGGGACUGAGAUACGGCCCAGACUCCUACGGGAGGCAGCAGUGGGGAAUAUUGCACAAUGGGCGGAAGCCUGAUGCAGCAACGCCGCGUGCGGGAUGACGACCUUCGGGUUGUAAACCGCUUUCGCCUGUGACGAAGCGUGAGUGACGGUAAUGGGUAAAGAAGCACCGGCUAACUACGUG
RNAcentral lists this ribosomal RNA (468 nucleotides) under uncultured bacterium. RNAcentral describes it as "partial 16S ribosomal RNA". It matches the Rfam family "Bacterial small subunit ribosomal RNA", at positions 28 to 507 of the family's 1533-position model. The record is from RNAcentral.